This 492-nucleotide ribosomal RNA is filed under the name uncultured bacterium. RNAcentral's name for it is "partial 16S ribosomal RNA". It matches the Rfam family "Bacterial small subunit ribosomal RNA", at positions 29 to 507 of the family's 1533-position model. The record is from RNAcentral.
AGCGAACGCUGGCGGUAGACCUAACACAUGCAAGUCGAACGGCAGCACAGUAAGAGCUUGCUCUUACGGGUGGCGAGUGGCGGACGGGUGAGGAAUACAUCGGAAUCUACUUUUUCGUGGGGGAUAACGUAGGGAAACUUACGCUAAUACCGCAUACGACCUACGGGUGAAAGCAGGGGAUCUUCGGACCUUGCGCGAUUGAAUGAGCCGAUGUCGGAUUAGCUAGUUGGCGGGGUAAAGGCCCACCAAGGCGACGAUCCGUAGCUGGUCUGAGAGGAUGAUCAGCCACACUGGAACUGAGACACGGUCCAGACUCCUACGGGAGGCAGCAGUGGGGAAUAUUGGACAAUGGGCGCAAGCCUGAUCCAGCCAUACCGCGUGGGUGAAGAAGGCCUUCGGGUUGUAAAGCCCUUUUGUUGGGAAAGAAAAGCAGCAGGUUAAUACCCCGCUGUUCUGACGGUACCCAAAGAAUAAGCACCGGCUAACUUCGUG